RNAcentral lists this ribosomal RNA (527 nucleotides) under Arthrobacter psychrolactophilus. Its description in RNAcentral is "bacterial SSU rRNA". It matches the Rfam family "Bacterial small subunit ribosomal RNA", at positions 732 to 1257 of the family's 1533-position model. The record is from RNAcentral. Lineage: Bacteria; Bacillati; Actinomycetota; Actinomycetes; Micrococcales; Micrococcaceae.
GGCAUUAACUGACGCUGAGGAGCGAAAGCAUGGGGAGCGAACAGGAUUAGAUACCCUGGUAGUCCAUGCCGUAAACGUUGGGCACUAGGUGUGGGGGACAUUCCACGUUUUCCGCGCCGUAGCUAACGCAUUAAGUGCCCCGCCUGGGGAGUACGGCCGCAAGGCUAAAACUCAAAGGAAUUGACGGGGGCCCGCACAAGCGGCGGAGCAUGCGGAUUAAUUCGAUGCAACGCGAAGAACCUUACCAAGGCUUGACAUGAACUGGAAAUACCUGGAAACAGGUGCCCCGCUUGCGGUCGGUUUACAGGUGGUGCAUGGUUGUCGUCAGCUCGUGUCGUGAGAUGUUGGGUUAAGUCCCGCAACGAGCGCAACCCUCGUUCUAUGUUGCCAGCACGUGAUGGUGGGGACUCAUAGGAGACUGCCGGGGUCAACUCGGAGGAAGGUGAGGACGACGUCAAAUCAUCAUGCCCCUUAUGUCUUGGGCUUCACGCAUGCUACAAUGGCCGGUACAAUGGGUUGCGAUACUG